AUUGAACGCUGGCGGCAUGCUUUACACAUGCAAGUCGAACGGUAACAGGCCUUCGGGUGCUGACGAGUGGCGAACGGGUGAGUAAUGCAUCGGAACGUGCCCAAUCGUGGGGGAUAACGUAGCGAAAGUUACGCUAAUACCGCAUAAGCCCUGAGGGGGAAAGUGGGGGACCGCAAGGCCUCACGCGAAUGGAGCGGCCGAUGUCAGAUUAGCUAGUUGGUGGGGUAAAGGCUCACCAAGGCGACGAUCUGUAGCGGGUCUGAGAGGAUGAUCCGCCACACUGGGACUGAGACACGGCCCAGACUCCUACGGGAGGCAGCAGUGGGGAAUUUUGGACAAUGGGCGCAAGCCUGAUCCAGCCAUGCCGCGUGCGGGACGAAGGCCUCGGUU
RNAcentral lists this ribosomal RNA (390 nucleotides) under uncultured bacterium. RNAcentral describes it as "bacterial SSU rRNA". It matches the Rfam family "Bacterial small subunit ribosomal RNA", at positions 29 to 424 of the family's 1533-position model. The record is from RNAcentral.